Molecule: ribosomal RNA, 302 nt
Filed under: uncultured bacterium
Lineage: Bacteria
Description: partial 16S ribosomal RNA
Rfam family: Bacterial small subunit ribosomal RNA
Source: RNAcentral
GCAGUAGCCGCGGUAAUACGAAGGGUGCUAGCGUUGUUCGGAAUCACUGGGCGUAAAGCGCGCGUAGGCGGCGUAGCAAGUCAGAGGUGAAAGCCCGGGGCUCAACCCCGGAAUUGCCUUUGAAACUGCUAUGCUAGAGUGUCGGAGGGGAUAGCGGAAUUGCUAAUGUAGAGGUGAAAUUCGUAGAUAUUAGCAGGAACACCGGUGGCGAAGGCGGCUAUCUGGACGACAACUGACGCUGAGGCGCGAAAGCGUGGGGAUCAAACAGGAUUAGAUACCCCGGUAGUCCCUGUCUCUUAUAC